Long non-coding RNA from Triticum aestivum (bread wheat), 2285 nucleotides. RefSeq lists it as uncharacterized. Lineage: Eukaryota; Viridiplantae; Streptophyta; Magnoliopsida; Poales; Poaceae. The transcript has 2 exons. The record is from RefSeq and is a predicted model, not a curated record.
GGCCUUUGGGAUGCGAACAGCCAAUUUUUCAGCGCGAAUGGCCGGCCCAACCCGCGAACUUUUCUCCCAAAAUCAACAGACAGUCACACCGCGCACACAUCAGCCAAAUCCCUAGCUUUCCUUCGUACGCAUUCAUUCCCCACGCCGGUCAAUCUCCGCGCCGCCGCCUCCACACCGGCCGAUCUCCGCGUUGCCGCCUCCACGCCGGUCGAUCUCCACGCCUCCGCCCCCCACGCCGGUCGAUCCGCACGCCUCCCACCGCCGCCCGACGCCGACCGGGGCUUCCUCCAAUCGAUCCCCACCCCGUCCCACCGCCGCCCAACGCCAUCGAUCUUGCCCCUCCGGCCGUGGUGAAGCACUCCCCGGAGGCGCUGCUGCUCGUGGUGUCCAACCCCGUCGACGUCCUCACCUACCUCGCCUUGAAGCUUCCAGGGUUGUGUUCGAGGUGAGCGGCGUCAUCUGCUCCGGUACCAACCUCGAUGUCUCCAGGAUAUGGUUCCUCAUCAACGAGCCCUCCUCCAUUCAACGCGCAGGACGUGCAGGUAACUUACUAGGCCCGGAUCCAUCCAUGAAUCCAUUGGCCUCUUGCUCCCCGGAUGAAAAUUUCUCAGGUUCAUAGAGAUACUUUACGAGUAUUUGUUUUUUAAGAAAGUCUAACUUGUUACUAAUCUGUUCGAUGGUUUCCAGAAGAAGGGAGCAUAUGUAACAAGCCUUCUAGAUACUCUUCAUGUUACUGAUUUUCUCAUAGAAAAUUCUUCAUUGCCAUAUAUAUUUUCUGUUGACAUAUCAUUAAGCAUCAGUACUGUAUUUUGAUUCCUUUUCUCGAUUAUAGAAGAUGUUAUUUGUCCAGCCUAUACUCAUGUUUAAUUUCCCCAUAGUUUGCUUCCUUAUUUUCUUUCCCAUGUAAUUAUUAUGUAGCUAUUCUACAUUCUGCGUAGUACUAAUCAGAUUCAAGGCAGUAGUUAUAUCGUUGAUUAGUUUUUGCAAUUUCUGCUACAUAUAUAUGUAGAUUUGUGAAAGUAUUUCUAAACAUGUUACCAGGUUUAAUGGAAGAAAUCCUACAAAUGAAAUAAGAAUAAUGUUAGGUAAGGUGUCGGGGGUGUCCUGCCUCCUCUGUUCAAUUUACACUGCUUCCAGUGUCCUCACAUAAUAAAUCUAAAUUAAAUAAAGUCGAUAUAUUAUUAUAUCUUCUGGACCAAAUGAUCUCCAUGUUAUGAAUAUUUAUCUACAAUAGUAUGUCCUUAAUCAAAAUUCCAUGUAUAUUAAAUGAUGGAAGUAGUAGAAUCUUUGUUGCAGUGUUUUAUAGUUUCAUUUAUCAGAGACAAUACUGCUUGAAAGUAUUCUAAUUCCACCGAGGGUGAAUGAAUUUUAAUCAGGAGUGUUGUGCUGCAGGAUUCCCAGCCCACCCCAGCAUCCCCUUCAACCCCGAACCGGUUUACUGUUGCGCCUCUGCAACCUUACAGGCCGCCGCAGUCGAUGCAGCAGCUAGCAGCAGGGCCCAUUGUCGUACUCGCGCAUCCCAGGUUCAUCUGCUUGCUGCUGUUUCGGCCAUCACUGGGUCCAUAGUUACUGUACACCUUCUACUCAAUAUUUGACAGAGUAACAAAAGAUGGUUGAUAAAUAUGUUGCUCUGAACCUUGGCUUAUUAAUUGGCGGAGCUUUGACAGGGCGAACCUGGGCACCCCAGGUCAUUUACUUAGAAGAUGAGCACUCCACCAGGCUGUUUGUAGUAAACAACUUUGGCGAUGCUCACGACAGGCAGUGACGCUAUGUGAUGGUGUCGAGCGUUGGGUAGGAAAGCAGAACAUCAUCAACUCUGCCUCACCUCUUCCACUAGUGUUGUCCGAUGUGUUCAAGCUGGAGGAUGUUCUGCAAUGAGAUGUAGAAUGAAGGCUUUGAUGUCAAGUACGAGAACGAUGCAAGGAUGUUGGUGGAAGGCUGUGAGGAUGGGUAUGUAGUUGCCCACUACAAGGAGCCAAGGCAGAUGAUGUGCCUCUUAGAAAAAUUCCAGUAAACAACACUAGGAAUUUUUGCUCUCAGACAAUGAACCAUAAUGUCUCCUCUAUUUCAUUAGUUACAUCAGUUUAUAGGAAACUUGGAUGGCCAUUGGUUCAUAACAUAUGCACUAUUUAUAUGUAAAAAUUAGUGAAUGUGUGUUAUAAUUGUUUGGUUCUGAUAUAUUAUUCUUGGUCGACAUGAAUGUUACUGUUGUGAAUUAUGUAACUUGAUUGAUGUUCUGAUGGUAAAGUGAAAUGUAGCUAUGUGAGGGGAAACAGAAGAUUGUC